CCUUGUACAAUUUAUAUAAGCUUUCAAUCUCCAGCUUGACCAUCAUCAUUAAUCUGCAAAUUAAAACAAAGAAUUAAACAAGUAAAUAAUUUGUAUUAUUUAUGACCAUGAUAAUUCAUAAUUGAGCAUCAAAAUGAGCAUCAAGCACAUACUAGAAAAAGAAAAAAGAAAUAUUAUUCAAAACAUGGUUGUGUCUCCUCUUCAUCAUCAUUAUCAGUCACUUUUCCCUUCAUUUCUUUUCCAUUUAUCACCUUAUCUUUAGGAAUCCCACCAAAUUUUUUUUUUUUUCUGAAAAAACACUUAAGAAAUAUAAAGAAAACAAAUAUUAUCAAAAUUAAAUAAAGUGUAGAAGUGUGAUAAAUUUGAUACCUUUCAAUUGAGCAUAUCCAAUUCUGUGUACACAUUAAGGCCUCUAAUGUACUCAGAUGAAGUCUACUACGAUGUGAACUUAAAAAUACCUGCACUAAAAGUAGACCCAGAAGCAACUAUGGAGACCGAAACAGCCAAAAAAUCUCUAGCAAUCUAUGAAAAUAUAGGAUACCUACUUCUAUUCACCUUCCACCACAUUAAAAUAUCGAAGUCUCGUAUCCUCCUCUUCCAAGUAAGUAUCUAACUCCAACAUAGCUCGUUUAUGAAUAUGUUAGCUUUUAAAUGCAUUAAAUUUUUGCACAUCGAACAUGCCUAUAACAACUGAACUAGAACUAGAAACAACACUAGACUCACCAAAUGCUUCAACCAAAUUCAAUCCAACCAUACUCUUUUUUUUUUUUUAUAUAUUUUGUAUAUAAGUGAAAUGAUGAUUCUUAGUGACCAAAUUAACUCUCUCUUUUUUAUAUAUUCAACCAAAUUCAAACAACACUAUACUUUUUUUUUUCAAUCAAACAAACCAAAUUAAAAAAAAUUAACCAAUUAACAAAACCCAUAGAUCAUAAGAAGUUGAUCAAUUUCCUCAAAAUUCAAUACAAAAUAUGAGCAAAAAAAUUUCUAAAAGGUGAGAAACGUUGCUUUUAUGGACCAUGAAGCAUCUAAAAAGGUCUAAAAAGUGAUGGAAACAAACAAAUUUAUGGGCACAUGGGGAGAAGAGAAAUUGUUUCCAUUUUGGUUGGCUUCAAGUCAAGUUGAACACGUUCUUACAAUUGAAAAAUUCAAGGUGAGAUAUUGUGAGAGCUGCUGAGAAAGAAGAGAAGCGAAGAGAGAGAAGAAAAAAUAAAAACUAAUAAUGAAAACCCUACAAGUUAACAGAGCAAAUAAAUAGAGAAAAACAGGGUAAAUAUUUACCAUUAUACAUAUUUUUUUCCCCAAAAACGAAUGUUGCGAAUUUUUUUUUAAAAGAAGCACAGCCUAUUAUUACUACAGAUCAAAGGCGAUGAAUCAAAUAAAAUUUGAGGAAUGCAAGUGAAGAAAAAGAGGGAGAUUUGAAUUAUAUACAUAGAUGUCAAAAGAGAGAGAUAUGAGUUGCAGGUUUGCCUCCGCUUGUUCCUUUUCCUCAGUGACAGAGAGAAAAGAGAAGAGAAGAGAUGAGCGAUGAAUGAUGAGUGGGCAAAGAGCGAUGAGCACCAGCGAACGAAGAGCGGUUGGUGAUAAUAUGAGGGUUUGCUAAAUCAAUAAUCUAUGACAUUCGUUUUAUUUUUUUCUUUUUAGUUUUACAAUAUAAGUUUUUUUUACCUUAAAAUUGGAUAAAUGAAUUGGACUUUGGAUAUCCAUCAAUUAUCCAUAUCCAUCCAAUAUCUAAUUGGAUAAUUUUAAAAUUAUCCAUAUCCAUAUCCAAAAUGAUUUUGGAUGGAUAUUAUCCAUCAAAUAUUCAUAUCCAUCCCUAUAUGUAAGUCAUGUUAAUACUAUUUUGAUUUUAAUACUA
Molecule: long non-coding RNA, 1855 nt
Filed under: Citrus maxima (pomelo)
Lineage: Eukaryota; Viridiplantae; Streptophyta; Magnoliopsida; Sapindales; Rutaceae
Description: long non-coding RNA (CMAX_LNC004117)
Source: RNAcentral